Malania oleifera is the source of this 4322-nucleotide RNA transcript. It is a transcript of the gene named auxin response factor 2B, with no coding region annotated. NCBI's taxonomy places the organism in Eukaryota, Viridiplantae, Streptophyta, Magnoliopsida, Santalales, Ximeniaceae. The transcript has 17 exons. The record is from RefSeq and is a predicted model, not a curated record.
UAUUUUCUUUAUUGCUCUUUGUUUAUAUAUUUACCUACCUUUAUUUUUGUUCUCGAGCACGAGAAAAUGACGAUAUGGCACCAUCCCAAAAUAAAAAAUAAGAUAAAAUAAAAUAAAAUACCAAAAAAGAAAAAUGGAAAAAAGUAACCAUGGUUAAGGGAACCCUAACCCGACAUGGUAAAGUGUUAACUCACUUUCCCCAAAUUAUCACAUCCAUCGAGUCCCUGCUCGUUAAUAGCACGACAACGCCACAAAAACACAACAGCUUUUUCGCCGAGCGCCAGGACAAACACCGUCCCCUGCUCCCCCAAUCACAACGGGCCACGUAGCCGCACGACUAACGCCGUCUCUGCCGGCUUCUCCACUCCCCUUUAUUGCAGCAACCCACGCCCCCUGGACUACCGGCUGUUCCCGGUCGUAAAGCUCCCGCCACCGGCUGUUCCCCGUCCACCCCUGGUUAGAUAUUGACCGCGGUUGAAACUUAUUUUCCAUUUGCCCCCUCCCCGGUUUUGACCCCUCUGGUUAAGGCCUAUUACUGGAAAGCUCCUCUCCCCUCUCUCAGAACUCGACCAGAGGUGAGAGAAAGUAGAGAGAGAAAGGGAUAGGGAGGAGAGAGACAGCGUUGCACUGUGAGGUGGUGGUCGUUCUGGCACCUGCAAUUCAUGGCUGAGACAGACUGAGACGGUUGCAGAAGAGAGAGAGGAAGACAGGGACAGGAGAGAGGAGAGACGGUUAAAUCGAGAGAAUUGGUUUUGGAUUGAGAUAUAUAUUGAUUGUUGAUCUUCGAGUAUAGGAACGAGGGUUGUUGCUUGUGUCGGUUGAAUUAAUUGUUUCUGAGGUCUGGAGUUGGGGUUUGGAUCGAAGUCAGGGUUGGUUGAGCUCGUGGUUGGUGGUUUUUUGAGGUUGUGUUUUACGAUUAUCGGCGGGAGGAGUUACAGAUGAGAGAUCUGUGCUGAAGUUCUGGAGAAAUGGUGUCUUCGGAGGUAUCAGCGAAAGGAAACUGCGGUAACGGGAGGGGAGAGAGCUUCUCCUCGGGGUACAGCGAGCCUAACGACGGUGGAAUUGGCAGGGACGGGCCGAGAGGUCACUCCGCUGCCGAAAAAGAUUCCGAAACUGCCCUUUACACGGAACUCUGGCACGCGUGCGCCGGUCCUCUCGUCACUGUGCCCCGCAAGGGAGAGCACGUCUUCUAUUUUCCUCAGGGACACAUCGAGCAGGUUGAGGCGUCGACAAAUCAGGUCGCGGAUCAGCAGCUACCAGUUUAUGAUCUUCCGUCGAAGAUCCUUUGCCGUGUGAUCAACGUCCAGUUGAAGGCCGAAGCGGACACUGACGAGGUGUUUGCGCAAGUGACUUUGCUUCCUGCGCCUAACCAAAAUGAGAACUCGAUAGAGAAGGAACCUUCUCCGCCUCCUCCGCCACGCUUUCAUGUGCAUUCUUUCUGUAAAACCUUGACAGCGUCGGAUACUAGCACCCAUGGUGGGUUUUCCGUGCUGAGACGGCAUGCAGAUGAAUGCCUUCCCCCAUUGGAUAUGUCUCGGCAGCCUCCAACUCAGGAGUUAGUAGCAAAGGAUUUGCAUGGAAAUGAGUGGCGAUUUCGGCAUAUCUUUCGGGGUCAACCUCGAAGGCACUUGCUUCAGAGUGGUUGGAGUGUGUUUGUCAGCUCCAAAAGACUUGUUGCUGGGGAUGCCUUCAUAUUUCUCAGGGGUGAGAAUGGGGAGCUACGAGUUGGAGUAAGACGUGCCAUGAGACAGCAGGGUAAUGUUCCAUCAUCAGUGAUAUCCAGUCACAGCAUGCAUCUUGGUGUUCUUGCAACUGCUUGGCAUGCUAUCUCAACAGGAACAAUGUUCACUGUUUAUUACAAGCCGAGGACAAGUCCUGCUGAGUUUAUUGUUCCAUAUGAGCAGUACAUGGAGUCUUUAAAGAACAGCUACUCUAUAGGGAUGAGGUUUAAAAUGAGGUUUGAAGGUGAAGAAGCUCCAGAGCAGAGGUUUACUGGCACAAUAGUUGGGAUUGAAGAUGCUGAUCCCAACAGAUGGCGAGACUCAAAAUGGAGAUGCCUCAAGGUGAGAUGGGAUGAGACUUCAUCUAUUCCUCGACCUGACAGAGUAUCACCCUGGAAAAUAGAACCUGCUGUGACUCCUCCACUGAAUUCGCUUCCAGUUCCCAGGCCAAAGAGGCCUCGGACAAACAUGGUGCCUUCAUCCCCUGACUCUUCUGCUCUUACUCGGGAAGGUUCAUCUAAAGUAACUGUGGACCCUUCACCAGCAAGUGGGUUUGCAAGGGUCUUGCAAGGUCAAGAAUUCUCGACCUUGAGAAGCACUUUUGCAGAGAGUAAUGAUUCUGACUCUACCGAAAAGCCUGCUGCAUGGAGACCUCCUUCAGAUGAUGAGAAGAUUGACGCAGUUUCUACGUCACGAAGAUAUGGAUCAGAGAAUUGGAUGCCCUUAAUGAGGAGUGAACCUACUUAUACGGACCUGCUGUCAGGUUUUGGUGGGCAUACCGAUUCCUCUCAUGGGUUCUGCCCGUCUUUUGUUGAUCCAAGUGCAGCUGGUGCUAACCUGAUGAAGAAACAUUUACCGCCAGAUCAGGAAGGGAAGUAUGGCUUGGUUGCGAACCCAUGGUCUGUCAUGUCUUCAGGUCUCUCACUUAACUUGUUAGAAUCUAGUUCAAAGGUUACUGUCCUAGGUGGUGAUGUGCCUUAUCAGGCACGGGGGAAUGUUAGAUAUGGCGAGUUUAGUGAGUAUUCCAUUCUUAAUGGUCAUAGAGUUGAACAGCAACAAGGAAAUUGGUUGAUGCGUCCACCAUCAUCUGUGUCUCAUCUUGAGAAUCCUGCUCAUUCAGGAGAGCCAAUGUUGGUGCAGAAAAAUGAACCGUUGAAGUCCAAGGAUGGCAACUGCAAGCUCUUUGGUAUCCCCCUCAUUAGUAACCGUGUUCCGCCAGAGCCAACAAUGUCCCAUAGAAAUAUGACAAAUGAAUUAGCAAGUCAUAUGCAUCUUGCAUCACACCAAUCUCAUUCACAUGAAUCUGAGCAGAAGUCAGAACAAUCAAAGGGCUUGAAACCAUUAGAUAAUCCAAUUACUGUCAGUGACCAGGAUAAGUCACUCCAAGCUUGCCAGCCAGUUACAAGAGAUGUUCAGGGCAAAGUUCAGGGCGGUUCAACCCGGAGUUGUACUAAGGUUCACAAGCAGGGGAUUGCACUAGGUAGGUCUGUUGACCUGACCAAGUUCAACAACUAUGAAGAAUUGAUUUCUGAAUUGGAUCAGUUGUUUGAGUUUGGCGGUGAAUUGAUGGGUUCGCAAAAGAACUGGAUGAUUGUAUACACUGAUGAUGAGGGCGAUAUGAUGCUCGUUGGAGAUGAUCCCUGGCUGGAGUUUUGUAGCAUGGUUCGCAAAAUUUUUAUCUACACUAGGGAGGAGGUCCAGAGGAUGAACCCAGGGUCCUUAAGCUCGAAAGGCCAGGAAAAUCCUGCAGCUUCUGAAAGCAUGGAUGGAAAAGAUGCAAAAUGCCCGUCACCUCCUUUGGCAGGCGUUCAAGAGAACUGUUCGGUGUAAAAUCUCCACAGUUCUAGGUUCUACGUCCGUGUUGCGGGUAGUGAGUUCCACCAUUCUUUUGAUGGCAAGUGCCAUUUUUCUGGAAAUGGACAGGGUGGGACAAACAUGAGACGACCUGUGUUCCCAAUUUUGGACGUGUUGUGGAGUUUCUCCCUUCGUUGGUAGUAUUAUGCUGUGGUGUCCAGUCCAGUAAUAUAUAUACAUAAUAUGUACACCUGUAGCCGUUGCAUUCAGUUCCCAAACCAUUCCACCUUAUUUCACUUUACUGCUGCUGAGUUUUUUUUACAUGUGGGAGAACGGAUCAAUGUGUUUGCCAAUCCUACUACCAAAGAGAAACAGUCUGUUAAGAGUUGCAGAAAUGAGAUUCCAACUUUUUAACCUUGGCACACAGGUUGCAGCUGCAACUUGCUAGGCGUUCUACGGGGGAAGCAGGGGGAGGAGCCCACUGCCGCCGGCUGUAGAAGGGCGGCGGCAUAUGUAUUAUAAUAUGAAGUAGGUUGGGGUUUGAAAGGUACAUCCAUUUGAUCACUAUUUCCAUGUUCAUUAUUCAGACCAAUUGUUAAUUUGGUUCAGGUAGAGAGAUGGGGAAAAGAAGUAUGUGUACUGUUUCUUUUCUCGGUGCAUGCAUUUAGUGGCACCUGCGUCUGGGUCUCCUGCAUUCCCAAAUUUCCUUUGGUGGGGGUAUAUUAGAAGUGGAGGCAGAUGGUUGGCUGGAAGUCGUCAGACUUCUUUCAAAAGAUAAGAAAGAUUUGAGGAAUAGUUUUUUUUUUU